GCCGGGCAUGGUGGUGCAUGCCUGUAGUCCCAGAUACUUGGGAGGCUGAGGCAGAAGAAUCACUUGAACCCAGGAGGUGGAGGUUGCAGUGAGCUGACAUCAUGCCACUGCACUCCAGCCUGGGUGACAGAGUGAGACUCCAUCUCAA
Molecule: non-coding RNA, 148 nt
Filed under: Pan troglodytes (chimpanzee)
Lineage: Eukaryota; Metazoa; Chordata; Mammalia; Primates; Hominidae
Source: Rfam by way of RNAcentral